CAAUAGCGUAUAUUAAUGUUGUUGCAGUUAAAAAGCUCGUAGUUGGAUUUCUGGUGGGAGCGGCCGGUCCGCCGUAAGGUGUGUACUUGGUUGUCUCCUGUCAUCCUUGUGGGAACUGCUCUGGCAUUAAGUUGUCGGGGUUAGGGAACACAUCGUUUACUGUGAAAAAAUUAGAGUGUUUAAAGCAGGCUUAUGCCGUUGAAUACAUUAGCAUGGAAUAAUAAGAUAGGACUUUGGCGUCUAUUUUGUUGGUUUGCACACCAAGGUAAUGAUUAAUAGGGAUAGUUGGGGGUAUUCAUAUUUAAUUGUCAGAGGUGAAAUUCUUGGAUUUAUGAAAGACGAACUUCUGCGAAAGCAUUUACCAAAGAUGUUUUCAUUAA
This 380-nucleotide ribosomal RNA is filed under the name uncultured eukaryote. RNAcentral describes it as "partial 18S ribosomal RNA". It matches the Rfam family "Eukaryotic small subunit ribosomal RNA", at positions 592 to 976 of the family's 1831-position model. The record is from RNAcentral.